CUGGCGGCGUGCCUAACACAUGCAAGUCGAACGGGAAAGCGGGGGCAACCCUGUGAGUACAGUGGCGUACGGGUGAGUAACACGUGACUACCUACCCUCGAGUGGGGGAUAACCCCGGGAAACCGGGGCUAAUACCGCAUAACAUCGCAAGAUCAAAGGAGCAAUUCGCUUGAGGAGGGGGUCGCGGCUGAUUAGCUAGUUGGUGAGGUAACGGCCCACCAAGGCAAUGAUCGGUAGCCGGCCUGAGAGGGCGCACGGCCACACUGGAACUGAAACACGGUCCAGACUCCUACGGGAGGCAGCAGUGGGGAAUUUUGCGCAAUGGGGGAAACCCUGACGCAGCAACGCCGCGUGGAGGAUGAAGUCCCUUGGGACGUAAACUCCUUUCGAUCCGGACGAUAAUGACGGUACGGGUGGAAGAAGCACCGGCUAACUUCGUGCCAGCAGCCGCGGUAAU
Molecule: ribosomal RNA, 457 nt
Filed under: uncultured bacterium
Lineage: Bacteria
Description: bacterial SSU rRNA
Rfam family: Bacterial small subunit ribosomal RNA
Source: RNAcentral